AGACGGACUCUUGCUGUGUCGCCCAGGCUGGAGUGCAGUGGCGCAAUUUGGGCUCACUGCAACCUCCACCUUCCAGGUUCAAGCAAUUCUUCUGCCUCAGCUUCCCAAGUAGCUGGGAUUACAGGAAGCUGAGGUGGAAGGACUGCCUGAGCCUGGGAAGCAGAGUCUGCAGUGAGCUAUGAUUGUGCCAGUGCACUGUACCCUGGGAGACAGAAUGAAAAGCUAUCCAAAAAAAAGAGAGAGAGAGGGAUACAGGUCAAGUCCCAGAGAUAAAAGCAGUCAUCAGAUCAUGUCCAUGGUGGUUGGCCAGAAACAAAUGCCUUUUGGUCCACUGCUUGAGUGGCAGUAAACCAGCAGCAGAAGAGAAGGGCUGAGAAACACAGGUGAUACCUGAUUGCUACUUAUUGGGUUUCUUUUUUUGUGAUGGAGUCUUGCUCUGUCACCCAGGCUAGAGUGCAGUGGCGUGAUCUCGGCUCACUGCA
This is a long non-coding RNA of Homo sapiens (human), 482 nucleotides long. Ensembl annotates it as XIAP antisense RNA 1. Its record names the gene XIAP-AS1. NCBI's taxonomy places the organism in Eukaryota, Metazoa, Chordata, Mammalia, Primates, Hominidae. The record is from Ensembl.